This 73-nucleotide transfer RNA is filed under the name Candidatus Liptonbacteria bacterium. RNAcentral's name for it is "tRNA-Ile". It matches the Rfam family "tRNA". Rfam says of the family: Transfer RNA (tRNA) molecules are approximately 80 nucleotides in length. Their secondary structure includes four short double-helical elements and three loops (D, anti-codon, and T loops). Lineage: Bacteria; Candidatus Liptoniibacteriota. The record is from RNAcentral.
GGGCCAGUAGCUUAGCGGCUAAAGCAUCAAGCUUAUACCUUGAGGAUCGAUGGUUCGAGUCCAUCCUGGCCCA